CAAGUCGCACGAUACCCAGGGGCUUGCUCUUGGGAUAAGUGGCGCACGGGUGCGUAACACGUAGGUAAUGUACCGUUUGGUGUGGAAUAACCGGCCGAAAGGCUGGCUAAUACCGCAUAAGUUCCCUUGAGGUUAGCCAAUGGGGAAGAAAGCAGGGCAACUUGCGCCGAACGAUCAGCCUGCGUCCCAUCAGCUAGUUGGUGAGGUAACGGCUCACCAAGGCGACGACGGGUAGCUGGUCUGAGAGGAUGAUCAGCCACACUGGGACUGAGACACGGCCCAGACUCCUACGGGAGGCAGCAGUGGGGAAUAUUGGACAAUGGGCGAAAGCCUGAUCCAGCAAUGCCGCGUGAGUGAUGAAGGCCUUCGGGUUGUAAAGCUCUGUCGGGAGGGACGAACGAGUUCGGGUAACGCCGAGCUGUGACGGUACCUCCAAAGGAAGCACCGGCUAACUCUGUGCCAGCAGCCGCGGUAAUACAGAGGGUGCAAGCGUUGUUCGGAAUUACUGGGCGUAAAGCGCGUGUAGGCUGCGAAGUAAGUCGGAUGUGAAAUCCCUCAGCUCAACUGAGGAAGUGCAUCCGAUACUGCAUCGCUUGAGUGUCAGAGGGGAUGGCGGAAUUCCCGGUGUAGAGGUGAAAUUCGUAGAUAUCGGGAGGAACACCUGUGGCGAAGGCGGCCAUCUGGAUGACGACUGACGCUGAGACGCGAAAGCGUGGGUAGCAAACAGGAUUAGAUACCCUGGUAGUCCACGCUGUAAACGAUGAGUGCUAGACGUCGCGGGUAUUGACCCCUGCGGUGUCGAAGUUAACACGUUAAGCACUCCGCCUGGGGAGUACGGUCGCAAGAUUAAAACUCAAAGGAAUUGACGG
This 869-nucleotide ribosomal RNA is filed under the name uncultured bacterium. Its description in RNAcentral is "bacterial SSU rRNA". It matches the Rfam family "Bacterial small subunit ribosomal RNA", at positions 58 to 916 of the family's 1533-position model. The record is from RNAcentral.